GACGAACGCUGGCGGCGUGCCUAAUACAUGCAAGUAGAACGCACAGUUUAUACCGUAGCUUGCUACACCAUAGACUGUGAGUUGCGAACGGGUGAGUAACGCGUAGGUAACCUGCCUGGUAGCGGGGGAUAACUAUUGGAAACGAUAGCUAAUACCGCAUAAUAUUAAUUAUUGCAUGAUAAUUAAUUGAAAGGUGCAAUUGCACCACUACCAGAUGGACCUGCGUUGUAUUAGCUAGUAGGUGAGGUAACGGCUCACCUAGGCGACGAUACAUAGCCGACCUGAGAGGGGGAUCGGCCACACUGGGAAUGAGACAAGGCCCAGACUCCUAAGGGAGGCAGCAGUAGGGAAUCUUCGGCAAUGGAGGAAAGUCUGACCGAGCAAAGCCGCGUGAGUGAAGAAGGGUUUCGGAUCGUAAAGCUCUGUUGUAAGAGAAGAACGGGUGUGAGAGUGGAAAGUUCACACUGUGACGGUAUCUUACCAGAAAGGGACGGCUAACUACGUG
Molecule: ribosomal RNA, 505 nt
Filed under: uncultured bacterium
Lineage: Bacteria
Description: partial 16S ribosomal RNA
Rfam family: Bacterial small subunit ribosomal RNA
Source: RNAcentral